This is a long non-coding RNA of Drosophila nasuta, 354 nucleotides long. RefSeq lists it as uncharacterized. The record is from RefSeq and is a predicted model, not a curated record. NCBI's taxonomy places the organism in Eukaryota, Metazoa, Arthropoda, Insecta, Diptera, Drosophilidae. The transcript has 2 exons.
ACUAAUACCCGUUUGAAGUAGGCGUGUUAUGCCAUUCAAAAGUAUUUCAUAAAUAAUUUAUUUUAUCUUUAAAUCUGAUCGCAUCCAAAACUUUCAGAAAUCAUAUAUACGUUUGUUUGCGAAUUUAACUUCAAAAUUAUGCUUGGUAUUCGAUAUUUUCGAUUUACUAAGGCGGAAAAGAGCGUGGAAAAAUUUAAAACAAUCUGGAUCUAUAUCUAGUUGCUUAUACGGACUGACGGAUAGACAGACAUCAAGAAAUAUAUUAUUGAUAAAGUGUGAUUGAUCUAAUAUGAGCUUAACAGAGGCAAUCUUUGCAUUUUGUUUAGGGAAUAAAUAUAUAUAAAUAUAAAUAUA